UACGUAGGGUGCGAGCGUUGUCCGGAAUUAUUGGGCGUAAAGAGCUUGUAGGCGGUUUGUCGCGUCUGCCGUGAAAAUCCGGGGCUCAACCCCGGACUUGCGGUGGGUACGGGCAGACUAGAGUGUGGUAGGGGAGACUGGAAUUCCUGGUGUAGCGGUGAAAUGCGUAGAUAUCAGGAGGAAUACCGGUGGUGUAGACGGCUCUCUGGACCGCGACUGACGCUGAGACACGAAAGCGUGGGUAGCAAACAGG
RNAcentral lists this ribosomal RNA (253 nucleotides) under uncultured bacterium. RNAcentral describes it as "partial 16S ribosomal RNA". It matches the Rfam family "Bacterial small subunit ribosomal RNA", at positions 524 to 776 of the family's 1533-position model. The record is from RNAcentral.